Myotis brandtii (Brandt's bat) is the source of this 831-nucleotide RNA transcript. It is a transcript of the gene named transmembrane protein 230, with no coding region annotated. The record is from RefSeq and is a predicted model, not a curated record. NCBI's taxonomy places the organism in Eukaryota, Metazoa, Chordata, Mammalia, Chiroptera, Vespertilionidae. The transcript has a single exon.
CACCCACUCUGUGGGCUAUGGUGCCGGCUCGCACCAACGUGCCUGCUGGGACCCCCAGGAGCAAAGUGAAAUAUUCAAUGCUCUCCAGCACUGACGAUGGACACAUGAACCCUCAGAAGGACACUUUACCCGCUGAAGAUUGCUGUAAACCCCGAAGAUGUCCCGGUGUGGCGAGAUCGCACUUACUAAAGUGUCAGGAAAGCCCCGCUAAGAUUCCCUACAAGGCCAUUGCCUGCUUCGCCCUGCAGUUUUUGAUAGGCGCUGUUCUCCUGAUCACCGGCUGCCUCCUGCUGGCGGGCUACCUCGGCGAAGCAGGACCCAACCGGGCCAUUGCCAUUCUCAUUGUGGGCAUCCUGGUGUUGCUGCCCGGGUUUUACCACCUGCUCAUCGCUUGCAAAGCCCGUCGAGGCUGCCCUGGCUACUCCUACCAAGACCUUCCGGACUGUGGCGACUAGCCCCACCGCAGCCAGGAGAGUGCGCUGGGGCUGCGCGGAGCUUCAAGGCAUUUGGCAGAAGCUGUAGAAAUCCAUGUCGAAGGAUUAAGGAAUUCUGCAAUUUUGCAGCUACUUGCAAAACUAUGGCCAGCUUUUAUAAUCCCUACCCAGAAUGUUAAUCGAAUUUAUAAUUAGACAAACAGGAUACCAGGGCAUGCUCUUAUUUUUAUUUUCCUGGCCCUGGCUAAAACCCCUGACAGAUUUCUCCACAGGAAUAUGAAUAAUGGAAGACUAGCAAUAUUGGUUUUAUGGGAAAGUAAAAAGUCAUUCUGUAGGACAAAAUGUUGCCUCCUCCACCCUAUUUAGAGAUGAGCAUUUCUUUAAAUAAAUAGUUCUU